CGUGUCAGGAGUGCAUUUGCA
This 21-nucleotide microRNA is filed under the name Drosophila ananassae. RNAcentral's name for it is "Dan-Mir-277_5p* (star (passenger))". RNAcentral also lists the same sequence under 5 other names. Lineage: Eukaryota; Metazoa; Arthropoda; Insecta; Diptera; Drosophilidae. The record is from RNAcentral.